This 468-nucleotide ribosomal RNA is filed under the name uncultured bacterium. Its description in RNAcentral is "partial 16S ribosomal RNA". It matches the Rfam family "Bacterial small subunit ribosomal RNA", at positions 28 to 507 of the family's 1533-position model. The record is from RNAcentral.
GACGAACGCUGGCGGCGUGCUUAACACAUGCAAGUCGAACGGAAAGGCCCUGCUUUUGUGGGGUGCUCGAGUGGCGAACGGGUGAGUAACAAGUGAGUAACCUGCCCUUGACUUUGGGAUAACUUCAGGAAACUGGGGAUAAUACCGGAUAGGAGCUCCUGCUGCAUGGUGGGGGGUGGAAAGGUUCGGCGGUUGGGGAUGGACUCGCGGCUUAUCAGCUUGUUGGUGGGGUAGUGGCUUACCAAGGCUUUGACGGGUAGCCGGCCUGAGAGGGUGACCGGCCACCUUGGGACUGAGGUACGGCCCAGACUCCUACGGGAGGCAGCAGUGGGGAAUAUUGCACAAUGGUCGGAAGCCUGAUGCAGCAACGCCGCGUGCGGGAUGACGGCCUUCGGGUUGUAAACCGCUUUCGCCUGUGACGAAGCGUGAGUGACGGUAAUGGGUAAAGAAGCACCGGCUAACUACGUG